UACGGGGGGAGCAAGCGUUGUUCGGAUUUACUGGGCGUAAAGGGCGCGUAGGCGGUCAGCACAAGUCAGUUGUGAAAUCUCCGGGCUUAACUCGGAAAGGUCAACUGAUACUGUGCGACUAGAGUGCAGAAGGGGCAACUGGAAUUCCUGGUGUAGCGGUGAAAUGCGUAGAGAUCGGGAAGAACAUCAGUGGCGAAGGCGGUCUGCUGGGCCGUUGCUGACGCUGAGGCGCGACAGCGUGGGGAGCAAACAGG
This 254-nucleotide ribosomal RNA is filed under the name uncultured bacterium. RNAcentral describes it as "partial 16S ribosomal RNA". It matches the Rfam family "Bacterial small subunit ribosomal RNA", at positions 524 to 776 of the family's 1533-position model. The record is from RNAcentral.